This 503-nucleotide unclassified non-coding RNA is filed under the name Yarrowia lipolytica. Lineage: Eukaryota; Fungi; Ascomycota; Dipodascomycetes; Dipodascales. The record is from RNAcentral.
AAUAAAUUAAUCUACAAGUAGUGGGGUUGUGUGGUAUGUAUAUCUGACUUUUGGGGCAGUAUUAGUCAUCCAACUGCCGGAAAAACGCCUUUUUUCGUCGUGUUGUUCUUUUUCGCCGGUUUCAAGCCCGUUUUUACCGUCCCCCCAUCCAUCCCUUGUCUAUCUAUCGUGUGGUAAUCUCAUAUCUACCAAGAUCGUAUUUCCACAGAGUUCAUGGUCAGAAAACGGACAUUUUGGGCUGGUGAUUCGGGCUGUGGAUUUUGAGGCGUAAUGUGGCACGUGACUGUGGGCUGUAGAUCGAGAUUAUGUCGAGAAUUGGACAAUGUCACAUGAUAGGGUGAAUAUCACGAGUCUGGGCUGUACAACGAUGCACUUUUCAUUCUGGUGAGACAUGUGGAGCAGGUGAACGGUGGGAGGAUUUUGGCCUUGGUGGGGGUUUUUCGGGUCCUGUUGUGUAAUUUUGGGGCAUAUUUUCAAAGUUGAAGUGCUGUGACAUUCCCACA